Molecule: transfer RNA, 74 nt
Filed under: Strongylocentrotus purpuratus (purple sea urchin)
Lineage: Eukaryota; Metazoa; Echinodermata; Echinoidea; Camarodonta; Strongylocentrotidae
Rfam family: tRNA
About the family: Transfer RNA (tRNA) molecules are approximately 80 nucleotides in length. Their secondary structure includes four short double-helical elements and three loops (D, anti-codon, and T loops).
Source: Rfam by way of RNAcentral
GGCAUGGUGGCUCAGUGGUUAAGAGUGCCCGCCUCAUAAACGGGAGGUCGUGGGUUCGAACCCCGGCCGAGUCA